AGUGAACGCUGGCGGCAGGCCUAACACAUGCAAGUCGAACGGCAGCACGGCAGUAGCAAUACUGUGGGUGGCGAGUGGCGGACGGGUGAGGAAUACAUCGGGAUCUACCCUGUUGUGGGGGAUAACGUAGGGAAACUUACGCUAAUACCGCAUAAGAACUGAGGUUGAAAGCGGCGGACCGCAAGGCGUCGCGCGAUUGGAUGAAUCGAUGUCCGAUUAGCUAGUUGGCGGGGUAAAGGCCCACCAAGGCGACGAUCGGUAGCUGGUCUGAGAGGACGACCAGCCACACUGGAACUGAGACACGGUCCAGACUCCUACGGGAGGCAGCAGUGGGGAAUAUUGCACAAUGGGCGAAAGCCUGACGCAGCCACGCCGCGUGAGUGAUGAAGGCCUUCGGGUCGUAAAACUCUGUCGGGAGGGACGAAGGGGCAACCCUGACGGUACCUCGCAAGAAAGCACCGGCUAACUCUGUGCCAGCAGCCGCGGUAAU
RNAcentral lists this ribosomal RNA (490 nucleotides) under uncultured bacterium. RNAcentral describes it as "bacterial SSU rRNA". It matches the Rfam family "Bacterial small subunit ribosomal RNA", at positions 29 to 524 of the family's 1533-position model. The record is from RNAcentral.